AUGUGGGACGCCUACCACAGCGUGGUGUGCCAAGCAGUGCCAUGUCCGCACCAAGGAUCUGAACCGGCGAACCCUGGGCCGCUGCAGCAGAACAUGGGCACUUAACCACUGCGCCACCGAGCCGGCAACUUGAAAAAAAGCUUUAUUAACACGAGCCUGCCAACUCUUUCUUGUUUGAAAUAAAUUCAAGAUAUCAACAACCACAACCAUCUAUUACCCCUCCUUUCAUCCUGGCUCCAACCAGUGGAGAACUGACAUAGACAUCCAAAUGGGGACCCAAAAAAACAACUUUAUUAGGGGGUUAGUCAAGCGCCAAAUGUUCCACCGAGUAAUAGGGAAUAUCAUAAAGCCAAAUAAGGGAACACAAGCUGGCAUCUCUCAAUAAGUUGAAUUUAACAACCACGCCUGGUGCCAGUCUUAUGCACAGCAGCCUAUCAGGGACUUGUGUCUUCUACCUAAAUGAAGCUGGGCCUCUGUUCCCUGCACCUGCCCCCAGUGGCUGCUUCUGGGGGCUGUGAAGUGGGCAGUUCAGCUAUCGCCCAGAAGGCUCUGAAACAGGUCAAAACAGAAUAUUAAGAUAAUUUCAAGGCCAUAUACACUGUAGGCCAAAAUUCAUCGCCUUUUCUAUUUUCCAUCUCAAAUGAUAUUCCAUUCAAUGCUCAACAUCAUUCACAAGGGAUCCUACAAUGAACACCACAUGAAAGUCUAAAAUACUCCAAAUAAUGCAAAGCAAGCAACACAAACACACCUAAAUUUUAACAUGAACUCACAUCAAGGAUUACAUUUCCAAAGAAAGGUGGAAUUCCAAAGAUGAAAUCCUUUGACGUUGGUCUGAAGACAUGCAACUUUUUCUCUCACUCAGAUUUGCUGUAUAGUAGGAAUCUUCCUCUCAAGCACAUAGUCCCGAGAGCACAAGUCUCUCUUUCGUGAGUGUUACAGAGGAUCACGGACCCCAGUGGAACAAAUGCACUUUGAGGAGCAAGCCAGAGCUUAGAGGUACCAUCCAAAUGCGAGCUUCCAAUAGGAUGGAUCCUGAGAGAGGAGCCAUUGAAAUGGUGCCCAGUGACUGACAGGCACGCCUGUAUCUCCUUCUUGAUUGCUAUCCCUCUGCUUCUCAGCUGAGGUAAAGAAUUUAUCUUACAUCUUCUUCAACUCCCCAGCUAUGUGCUCAGGAAGGUGCUAAGGCUAUCCGUGCAUUUUUAGGCCAUUCCCAGAACUCUUGGUGCAACAGGUACCAGCUGCCACGUUGAGGGUCUGGCUCAAGUUCCCGCAGCGCAAAAUCAGUUAAAUACAAAUAGCAAUAUCAGUUAGCCUUAAAGAGGGACGAAAUUCUGACGCAUGCUGCAACGUGGAUCAGCCUUGAAGACAUUAUGCUAAGUGAAAGAAGCUAUUCACAAAAAGAUAAAUACUGUAUGAUUCCACUUGUAUGCAGUACCCAGAAUAGUCAAAUGCAUACAGACAGAAAGUAGAAUGGUGGUUGUCGGGAGCUGGAGGGAGGAGGAAGUUAUUAUUUCAUGGAUACAGAGUUUCAAUUUGAGAAGAUGAAAAAGUUGUGGAGAUGGUCAGCGGUGAUGGUAGCCCAACAAUGGGAAUGUACUUAAUGCCACUGAACUGUAUGCUUAAAAAUUGUUAAGGUUGUAAUUUUAUGUUAUGUGUAUUUUACCACAAUUUUUUAAAAGUCUUAAUUUAAAAAAAUCUCUGAGACUGAUUGUGGAACUAAGAACACCUUUCUUCGAUUCUCUUCAACCCUUAGCUAACCAGUGAUGGCAGAUGUCAUGAAACCAUCAGGACAACAGGAAAACUCCAUAGCCUACCCAGCCGUCCUGUACUCCCCACUUUGGUCUGUGGUGGAAGGCUCUUCCUCCAACAUUUUCACCUUUAGGCCAAUGCUGGGAAGAGAGCUUCCACUCCACGUUCUUGUCAUCCAAAAGGAAGAGAAGCAUCUAAGUUGAUUGGUGAGAGCUGACAUUUACGGGGCAAGGUCAUGGGUGAAAGUUCUCUGCACUUGCCAUUCUCUCUGUGUGGUUAAGCCAACAAAGCCCGGCCCACUCUAGCAACCCACAGUUGUCUCUCUCUGGCCCACCUCCUCUGCCUGUGGCUGGGUAUGAGUCAGAUCAGCCUUGUGGAAUGGACUCGACUGAAUUUGGGGGAGGGAGGAGGAGGCUGCCCUCUGGACUGGACCUAGGGUGUUACUGGGCCCUUGCCCAGCCCAGGACCAAAGUGACACUUUGAUUUGAUCCCCAUCUGGGUCUCAGUUUCUUGAGCCUCUUCUCCUCUAACAGAUGCAAAGGAAGGAAAACUUUACCUCUACCCAUCUUAGGUCUUCAUCUGGGGCUCUUUAACAAAAAAAGAAAACAGAACAAGAAGAGAAAAAUAAAGCAUGCAGCACAUAUCACAUGGGAGAAGCCUAAACGAGAAGUAACUCAAAGGAGUGACUUACAACUCCAGCUUAUACAGCAUUCUUCAACCAAAAACAAGAAAUUUCUAGAGAAAUGACAGGACAAACGAAAGCACUUUUAGGCUUCCAAGGGUGGCAAACUAUGGGAGUGUAAUAUACAGGAGGAAACUAAUGAUGUAAUGGUUGUUUGUAGAUUCCUCUGGUGUCUCUGGACUCAUAAGAAUCUCUCUCUAGCAAAAGGAGAAUUUAUAGAAUUUAUACCCUGCUUCUAGGCAGAAAGGGGGAGUUAUUCCUGCAUUUGCUGCUUCUUAACUGCUUUCAGUUCAAAAUAAUUUUUCUGUCAAAGAGGCAUAUUUUGGUGACAUAUUCUGGUUUCCUUCACAGACAAGGCACAAGAAAGAGAGGGUAGAGGAUAAAGGUUUCAUUCCCCCCAAAUCACCAUAAAA
RNAcentral lists this long non-coding RNA (2844 nucleotides) under Equus caballus (horse). RNAcentral's name for it is "lncRNA (ENSECAG00000045522.1)". The record is from RNAcentral. Lineage: Eukaryota; Metazoa; Chordata; Mammalia; Perissodactyla; Equidae.